GAUGAACGCUGGCGGCGUGCCUAAUACAUGCAAGUCGAGCGAACAGACGAGGAGCUUGCUCCUCUGACGUUAGCGGCGGACGGGUGAGUAACACGUGGAUAACCUACCUAUAAGACUGGGAUAACUUCGGGAAACCGGAGCUAAUACCGGAUAAUAUCUUGAACCGCAUGGUUCAAUAGUGAAAGACGGUUUUGCUGUCCCUUAUAGAUGGAUCCGCGCCGCAUUAGCUAUUUGGUAAGGUAACGGCUUACCAAGGCGACGAUGCUUAGCCGACCUGAGAGGGUGAUCGGCCACACUGGAACUGAGACACGGUCCAGACUCCUACGGGAGGCAGCAGUAGGGAAUCUUCCGCAAUGGGCGAAAGCCUGACGGAGCAACGCCGCGUGAGUGAUGAAGUUCUUCGGAUCGUAAAACUCUGUUAUUAGGGAAGAACAAAUGUGUAAGUAACUAUGCACGUCUUGACGGUACCUAAUCAGAAAGCCACGGCUAACUACGUG
Molecule: ribosomal RNA, 497 nt
Filed under: uncultured bacterium
Lineage: Bacteria
Description: partial 16S ribosomal RNA
Rfam family: Bacterial small subunit ribosomal RNA
Source: RNAcentral